UCUUCAUUUCACACACUCUCUCACCGGUCAGAGAGGCGAGACAGUGUGUGAAAUGAAGAGG
Molecule: non-coding RNA, 61 nt
Organism: Pristionchus pacificus
Lineage: Eukaryota; Metazoa; Nematoda; Chromadorea; Rhabditida; Neodiplogasteridae
Source: Rfam